AGGAUAAACGCUGGCGGCGUGCUUCAGGCAUGCAAGUCGAACGGACUACUUCGGUAGUCAGAGGCGGACGGGUGAGUAACACGUAAGUAACCUGCCCAGAAGUGGGGAAUAACUAGCCGAAAGGUUGGCUAAUACCGCAUGUGAUGGCCGCCCCCUGGGGUGGUCCUUAAAGGCUUCGGUCGCUUCUGGAGGGGCUUGCGUUCGAUUAGCUAGUUGGUGGGGUAACGGCCUACCAAGGCUUCGAUCGAUAGCUGGUCUGAGAGGACGGACAGCCACACGGGGACUGAGAUACGGCCCCGACUCCUGCGGGAGGCAGCAGCUAGGAAUCUUGGGAAUGGGCGAAAGCCUGACCCAGCAACGCCGCGUGGGUGACGAAGGCCUUCGGGUCGUAAAGCCCUUUUGCAGGGGAAGAUGAUGACGGUACCCUGCGAAUAAGCCACGGCUAACUACGUGCCAGCAGCCGCGGUAAUACGUAGGUGGCAAGCGUUGUCCGGAUUUACUGGGCGUAAAGGGCGUGCAGGCGGUUUGUUAAGUCUAGGGUGAAAGCUCCCGGCUCAACUGGGAGAGGUCCUUGGAUACUGGCAGACUUGAGGGGGGUAGAGGAGAGUGGAAUUCCCGGUGUAGUGGUGAUAUGCGUAGAUAUCGGGAGGAACACCAGUGGCGAAGGCGGCUCUCUGGGCCCUACCUGACGCUGAGACGCGAAAGCGUGGGGAGCGAACCGGAUUAGAUACCCGGGUAGUCCACGCCGUAAACUAUGGACACUAGGUGUGGGGGGUAUCGACCCCCUCCGUGCCGCAGCUAACGCAAUAAGUUCCC
RNAcentral lists this ribosomal RNA (816 nucleotides) under uncultured bacterium. RNAcentral's name for it is "bacterial SSU rRNA". It matches the Rfam family "Bacterial small subunit ribosomal RNA", at positions 26 to 869 of the family's 1533-position model. The record is from RNAcentral.